RNAcentral lists this ribosomal RNA (1581 nucleotides) under Triticum aestivum (bread wheat). RNAcentral's name for it is "partial small subunit ribosomal RNA". Lineage: Eukaryota; Viridiplantae; Streptophyta; Magnoliopsida; Poales; Poaceae. The record is from RNAcentral.
AUGCCGGCUUCUGCGUCGGCGGCGGCCGCGGCCGCCCCAGCCCCAUCCACCUCUCGCGCUCCUCCUCGUUCGACUUCUGCGUCUCCGACGGCGGGAGCUGCUGCUACGACUACGCCGGGCGCGACGAACUCCCUGGCCCGGACGGCCACCUCUCCGGCUCCUUGCCCAGCUUCUGCGUCGUCGGCAGCAGAUGCUCCAGCUGUGCUGGGCGCUAUGGCUCCUCCUGCCGGUGCCAUCAACGCCGUUGUGCCCGCCCUGCAGCAGCCGCUGUAUGUGUCAUGGGCCUCCCUCGCCACCGACGACGACGACAUCGACGAUGAUGACGAGGUAGCUCCGCUGACGCCGUUUGCUGCCAGAUGCUCCAGCGGGGUGUGUGUUUCGGCUGCUGUUGCUCCUGAGGCGACAUUGGAGCAACCAUGGGUGAAGGUGGGGGGCCGUCAGUGUCAGCGGCCGCGGCAGGAGUUGGCACCAGGGCCGCCACGCAGGAUGGAGACUGCCAGCUCCCUCGCCUUCAAGAGAAGAACCUACGGCCUCUGUUUUCGCUGCUUGGCGCCGAAGCAUCUCGUCGCUGAUUCUCGCGGUCCUGUCAGAUGCCUGGCAUGUGGCCUCCCAGGCCAUCGUGAACGUGGUUGUCCCUCGCGCCAGCCAACGGGGGAAGGUCGCUGCCUCCGUCCUCGCUCGCCUACGGCCUCACCGUGUCAUUCGAGGGACCUGCCAGACUGCCAGGCUCCUCGCCACUUCAGCAGCUCAACUCAUGGAUCUCCACAUACGCAUCGACACACCUGGGCCUCGGUUGUUGCCCCUCCGGCUGUGGCGAAUCCCAGCGAUUCUGUUGUUGCUGAUUUGGGAUUGCUCGAGCCUCUCCUUGCUGCUCAGAUGGAAGUGUUGCGCUCUGAGAUGCAGGCCUUGACCGUCUCACGUUUGGAGGAGGUGGUCCGACCCCUUCAUGACAUGAUGACUGCUUUGGAGGGGUGGACGACUCUACUUCGGGGAUUCUUGGAGCGAAUGGAGGUUGUUGUUGGCCAGCUGGGCUACUCGCCGGCCUCGCCACAGUCGUUUGAGAUGCAUGUUGCAGGUUCUGUUGGGAAUGUUGCUGGUGUUGAGGAUUUCAUCAAGAGUGAUGUGGCUAGCUGCUCGUCUGAGGUCCUAGCUUCUGUUGCGCACCUUAGGGAUGCGACCCCUGUUCUGGUCUCGUCUCUGCCCAUGAAGGAGCAAGCUGAGGCCGGUGGGACUGUGGCAUGCGUGGAGGCUGCUCUUUGCAGGCUCCCGACUGUGCCUCUUAUGUCCCCGUUGCUCGAGCUCCAGGUUGGUUCUGCGGAUGGGAGGGAAGCAUGCAUGUAUGGAUGUUUCUCCCCUUGUGCCGCUCUCUGUACAUCGCCACUACCUGUCAUGCCAAGUGACUUCGGGAGUGUGGUCGUCAUCGAGGGCGUGACUUCGGUGCUACAAUGUAUGCCUGAGUUGCAGGUGUUAAGUGUGGAACCAUCUUCGCCUAUAUCGAUGGUGCUCUCGAAGGUGGGCUCGCUUGGGGCGGUGACGGUUGCCUCGACGCCCUCUCCACCUCCGUUGGAGCCUAGUCAGUAG